RNAcentral lists this transfer RNA (86 nucleotides) under Felis catus (domestic cat). It matches the Rfam family "tRNA". From Rfam's summary of the family: Transfer RNA (tRNA) molecules are approximately 80 nucleotides in length. Their secondary structure includes four short double-helical elements and three loops (D, anti-codon, and T loops). Lineage: Eukaryota; Metazoa; Chordata; Mammalia; Carnivora; Felidae. The record is from Rfam by way of RNAcentral.
GCCUGGGUGGCUCAGUCAGUUGGGCGUCUGACUUUGGCUCAGGGACAUGAUGUCACGGUUUGUGAGUUCGAGACCCGCCUUGGGCU